RNAcentral lists this unclassified non-coding RNA (348 nucleotides) under soil metagenome. RNAcentral describes it as "partial contains 5.8S ribosomal RNA, internal transcribed spacer 2, and large subunit ribosomal RNA". The stretch from base 1 to 120 matches the Rfam family "5.8S ribosomal RNA", at positions 35 to 154 of the family's 154-position model. The record is from RNAcentral.
GAUGAAGAACGUAGCGAAAUGCUAUAAGUAAUGUGAAUUGCAGAAUUCAGUGAAUCAUCGAGUCUUUGAACGCACAUUGCGCCCCCUGGUAUUCCGGGGGGCAUGCCUGUCCGAGCGUCAUUGCCGCCCUCAAGCACGGCUUGUGUGUUGGGCCCCCGCCCCCCGGCUUCGGGGGGCGGGCCCGAAAGGCAGCGGCGGCACCGCGUCCGGUCCUCGAGCGUAUGGGGCUUCGUCACCCGCUCUGUAGGCCCGGCCGGCGCCCGCCGGCGACCCCAAUCAAUCUUUCCAGGUUGACCUCGGAUCAGGUAGGGAUACCCGCUGAACUUAAGCAUAUCAAUAAGCGGAGGA